This 409-nucleotide ribosomal RNA is filed under the name bacterium. RNAcentral describes it as "partial 16S ribosomal RNA". It matches the Rfam family "Bacterial small subunit ribosomal RNA", at positions 355 to 776 of the family's 1533-position model. The record is from RNAcentral.
UGGGGAAUAUUGCACAAUGGGCGAAAGCCUGAUGCAGCGCCGCCGCGUGAGGGAUGACGGCCUUCGGGUUGUAAACCUCUUUCAGCAGGGACGAAGCGCAAGUGACGGUACCUGCAGAAGAAGCACCGGCUAACUACGUGCCAGCAGCCGCGGUAAUACGUAGGGUGCAAGCGUUGUCCGGAAUUACUGGGCGUAAAGAGUUCGUAGGCGGUUUGUCGCGUCGUUUGUGAAAACCAGCAGCUCAACUGCUGGCUUGCAGGCGAUACGGGAAGACUUGAGUACUGCAGGGGAGACUGGAAUUCCUGGUGUAGCGGUGAAAUGCGCAGAUAUCAGGAGGAACACCGGUGGCGAAGGCGGGUCUCUGGGCAGUAACUGACGCUGAGGAACGAAAGCGUGGGUAGCGAACAGG